CCUAUGGGGUGCAGCAGGCGCGAAACCUCUGCAAUGCGGGAAACCGUGACAGGGGGAUCCCAAGUGCUCAUGCAUUGCAUGGGCUGUUCUUUGGUCUAAGUAACCAGAGGAGUAAGGGCUGGGCAAGACCGGUGCCAGCCGCCGCGGUAAUACCGGCAGCUCAAGUGGUAGCCGCGAUUAUUGGGCCUAAAACGUUCGUAGCCGGAUAAGUAAGUCUUUGGUUAAAUCCUGCGACUUAACCGUGGGAAAUCUAGAGAUACUGCUUGUCUUGAGACCGGGAGAGGUUGGAGGUACUCCCAGGGUAGGGGUGAAAUCCUGUAAUCCUGGGGGGACCACCUGUGGCGAAGGCGUCCAACUGGAACGGGUCUGACGGUGAGGGACGAAACCUAGGGGAGCGAGCCGGAUUAGAUACCCACGUAGUCC
Molecule: ribosomal RNA, 423 nt
Filed under: uncultured Thermoplasmata archaeon
Lineage: Archaea; Methanobacteriati; Thermoplasmatota; Thermoplasmata
Description: bacterial SSU rRNA
Rfam family: Archaeal small subunit ribosomal RNA
Source: RNAcentral